This is a long non-coding RNA of Dicentrarchus labrax (European seabass), 192 nucleotides long. RefSeq lists it as uncharacterized. Lineage: Eukaryota; Metazoa; Chordata; Actinopteri; Moronidae. The record is from RefSeq and is a predicted model, not a curated record. The transcript is spliced from 3 exons.
GGUUUUGAGAUAUCUAUCUGCGUUCUGUUUCCACCCCAAUACAAUAAAGCUCCUACCUCCUGGAGUCAGCAGGCCUUUGAAGACACAGAUAUUCUCCCCUCCAUUGACUUGCUGGAGGACCUUCAGUUCAUCCUGAGUUGACCCCAACACUGAGCCCCGAUGACCUUGUCCAAGGUCAAGGAAGAAAUGCAG